GUGAUGGGAUGGAAACUGCUGAUCUAGAGUAUCGGAGAGGAAAGUGGAAUUCCUAGUGUAGCGGUGAAAUGCGUAGAUAUUAGGAAGAACACCAGUGGCGAAGGCGACUUUCUGGACGAAAACUGACGCUGAGGCGCGAAAGCCAGGGGAGCGAACGGGAUUAGAUACCCCGGUAGUCCUGGCCGUAAACGAUGGGUACUAGGUGUAGGAGGUAUCGACCCCUUCUGUGCCGGAGUUAACGCAAUAAGUACCCCGCCUGGGGAGUACGACCGCAAGGUUGAAACUCAAAGGAAUUGACGGGGGCCCGCACAAGCGGUGGAGUAUGUGGUUUAAUUCGACGCAACGCGAAGAACCUUACCAGGUCUUGACAUUGAUGGACAGAACUAGAGAUAGUUCCUCUUCUUCGGAAGCCAGAAAACAGGUGGUGCA
RNAcentral lists this ribosomal RNA (429 nucleotides) under Salmonella enterica subsp. enterica serovar Tamberma. RNAcentral describes it as "bacterial SSU rRNA". It matches the Rfam family "Bacterial small subunit ribosomal RNA", at positions 618 to 1045 of the family's 1533-position model. The record is from RNAcentral. Lineage: Bacteria; Pseudomonadati; Pseudomonadota; Gammaproteobacteria; Enterobacterales; Enterobacteriaceae.